UGAAUUUGUUUAUUAUUUUCCUUAAACACGUGUAACUGUCAUUGGCUUCUUCACGUCGCCUCUUUCCACGUUACCUUUCAUCUUUACCAAAUCGAUUAAACGUCUCCAUUCUUCUUGAACCCUAAAUCGAUAAUCAGAAAUCGAUCGCAUGACAACAACUGCGCUCAAACCUGGCACCCAUCUCCUCCUUAGCAAGCCCUAAGUUCUCCUUCUAUUUGACCACCAGAUCUCCUCAGCGUGUCAUCCUUAAAGUCGGGUUUGCCGAGCCUCGAUUUUGCCUUCAUACAAUGGGCAGAAGUUGGAUUGUUGAUGGUAGAGCUAUUGCAUGAAAGGUUGAAACCUGUAGUCUGCCUUUGGUAAAUAAAGUCAAAGACUGGAGCAAUUCAGGAUUGACCAUGAUGCCAUUUCAGGAUUGAUAGUAGUGAUGUAUCAGUAGAGUAGUGGUCUGGGCUUCCCAUUGGUGUGAAAUUUGAACCCACUGAUUUGAUCUUGAGCUCUUAGAACAUUCGACAGCCAAAUGUGGUGUGGGGAAUCAAAAACCACACCAAUUAAUUGAUGAGUUCAUCCCUACACUUGAUGUAGAUGAAGGAAUAUGUUCCAAACAUCCUGAAAAUCUUCCUGGAUAGUGACGUUGAGAAAAUAUUAUAUGGACUCAGCUAUAUAGGAGCAACUAAUGCAUCAUUGUUGGGGGUGAGAUGGACAAACUUGCAAUUGAAGAACCAGGUUUAAAGAACCGUGGUGUUCCUCAAAAAGUUUCUUACAAGGAUUUACCAUCUCAAAAACAGGUUUUAGUUUAAUUUUAAGUUCAAAUUAGAUCAUUUUAUAUUAAUAUGUUAGAUAGUAACAUAAAGUUUUGGUAAAUAUUAGGAUUACGGAUUUGAGAGUUAUACAGUUUAAUAAAUACAUAUCGGGUAUUAAUGUGUUUUCCUAAUAUCUUGAUUUGCCACUGUAUGUUGUCAACUUGUCAUUUGUUUUAGACUCCCACA
This 986-nucleotide long non-coding RNA is filed under the name Helianthus annuus (common sunflower). The record is from RNAcentral. Lineage: Eukaryota; Viridiplantae; Streptophyta; Magnoliopsida; Asterales; Asteraceae.